Molecule: ribosomal RNA, 279 nt
Filed under: uncultured bacterium
Lineage: Bacteria
Description: partial 16S ribosomal RNA
Rfam family: Bacterial small subunit ribosomal RNA
Source: RNAcentral
UGCCAGCAGCCGCGGUAAUACGGAGGGUGCAAGCGUUGUUCGGAAUUACUGGGCGUAAAGCGCACGUAGGCGGAUUAGUAAGUCAGAGGUGAAAUCCCAGGGCUCAACCCUGGAACUGCCUCCAAAACUAUCAGUCUAGAGUUCGAGAGAGGUGAGUGGAAUUCCGAGUGUAGAGGUGAAAUUCGUAGAUAUUCGGAGGAACACCAGUGGCGAAGGCGGCUCACUGGCUCGAUACUGACGCUGAGGUGCGAAAGUGUGGGGAGCAAACAGGAUUAGAUA